RNAcentral lists this ribosomal RNA (466 nucleotides) under uncultured bacterium. RNAcentral's name for it is "partial 16S ribosomal RNA". It matches the Rfam family "Bacterial small subunit ribosomal RNA", at positions 28 to 507 of the family's 1533-position model. The record is from RNAcentral.
GACGAACGCUGGCGGCGCGCCUAACACAUGCAAGUCGAACGAGCGAGAGAGAGCUUGCUUUCUUGAGCGAGUGGCGCACGGGUGAGUAACGCGUGAGGAACCUGCCUCUAAGAGGGGGACAACAGUUGGAAACGACUGCUAAUACCGCAUAAGCCCACGGUGCCGCAUGGCACAGAGGGAAAAGGAGCAAUCUGCUUUGAGAUGGCCGCGCGUCCGAUUAGCUAGUUGGUGAGGUAACGGCCCACCAAUGCGACGAUCGGUAGCCGGACUGAGAGGUUGAACGGCCACUUUGGGACUAGGACACAGCCCAGACUCCUACGGGAUGCACGAGUGGCGAAUAGUGCACAGUGGGGGAAACCCUGAUGCUGCGACGCCGCGAGGAGGAUGAAGGUCUGCGGAUUGAAAUCUCCAGGUGUUGAGGAAGAUAAUGACGGUACCUAAUAAGAAAGCGACGGCUAACUACGUG